AUUUUGUUAGUCUAAAAAAGACGUUGAUUUGUGGAAUCAAAAAUUAAUUACUUCACAAAAUU
RNAcentral lists this transfer RNA (62 nucleotides) under Thrips palmi. RNAcentral's name for it is "trnH". The record is from RNAcentral. Lineage: Eukaryota; Metazoa; Arthropoda; Insecta; Thysanoptera; Thripidae.